GCAAGUCGAGGGGUAACAUGAGAGCUUGCUCUUGAUGACGACCGGCGCACGGGUGCGUAACACGUAUUCAACUUGCCACACACUCAGGGAUAGCCUUUCGAAAGAGAGAUUAAUACCUGAUAGUAUAAUCAAUUCGCAUGUUUUGAUUAUUAAAGAUUCAUCGGUGUGUGAUGGGAAUGCGUUCCAUUAGAUAGUAGGUGAGGUAACGGCUCACCUAGUCUUCGAUGGAUAGGGGUUCUGAGAGGAAGAUC
Molecule: ribosomal RNA, 251 nt
Filed under: uncultured bacterium
Lineage: Bacteria
Description: partial 16S ribosomal RNA
Rfam family: Bacterial small subunit ribosomal RNA
Source: RNAcentral